RNAcentral lists this ribosomal RNA (253 nucleotides) under uncultured bacterium. RNAcentral's name for it is "partial 16S ribosomal RNA". It matches the Rfam family "Bacterial small subunit ribosomal RNA", at positions 524 to 776 of the family's 1533-position model. The record is from RNAcentral.
GACGUAGGGCGCGAGCGUUGUCCGGAUUUAUUGGGCGUAAAGAGCUCGUAGGCGGCCUGUCGCGUCGAAUGUGAAAUUUUAGGGCUCAACCCUGACAUUGCAUUCGAUACGGGCAGGCUUGAGUUCGGUAGGGGAGCACGGAAUUCCUGGUGUAGCGGUGAAAUGCGCAGAUAUCAGGAGGAACACCGGUGGCGAAGGCGGUGCUCUGGGCCGAAACUGACGCUGAGGAGCGAAAGCGUGGGUAGCAAACAGG